RNAcentral lists this ribosomal RNA (517 nucleotides) under uncultured bacterium. RNAcentral's name for it is "bacterial SSU rRNA". It matches the Rfam family "Bacterial small subunit ribosomal RNA", at positions 791 to 1320 of the family's 1533-position model. The record is from RNAcentral.
UAGUCCACGCUGGAAACGAUGGAUACUAGGUGUAGGAGGUUAUUUACCCCUUCUGUGCCGAAGCUAACGCGUUAAGUAUCCCGCCUGGGGACUACGGCCGCAAGGCUAAAACUCAAAGGAAUUGACGGGGGCCCGCACAAGCAGCGGAGCGUGUGGUUUAAUUCGAUGAUACGCGAAGAACCUUACCUGGGUUUGACAUGUUGGUAGUAGUGAAGCGAAAGCGGAACGACCCUUCGGGGAGCCAUCACAGGUGCUGCAUGGCUGUCGUCAGCUCGCGUCGUGAGAUGUUGGGUUAAGUCCCGCAACGAGCGCAACCCUUGUCGUUAGUUACAAGUGUCUAACGAGACUGCCGGUUUCAAACCGGAGGAAGGUGGGGAUGACGUCAAGUCAGCAUGGUCUUUAUGUCCAGGGCUACACACACGCUACAAUGGCCAGUACAACAGGUUGCCACACCGCGAGGUGAAGCUAAUCCCUAAAGCUGGUCUCAGUUCGGAUUGCAGUCUGCAACUCGACUGCA